Molecule: long non-coding RNA, 1503 nt
Organism: Ananas comosus (pineapple)
Lineage: Eukaryota; Viridiplantae; Streptophyta; Magnoliopsida; Poales; Bromeliaceae
Exons: 7
Source: RefSeq, a predicted model, not a curated record
UUUUCCCAUGGUUUGAGGUGAAAAAGAUGGAAUUAAGCCCACUUCUUUCUUUUGUUUUGUUGCUAGCUGAAGUAGAAGGCUUUGGAGCUGCUAAGGGUUGUGAGAGAGAGGAAUUUGGGAGAAUUUUGCAACUUCAACUCAGUAGAUAACUGAGUUACAACUUGGUAAAGUGAUUUGUACCAUUUCUUUCCAUAGCUUGGUGUUAGUGAUGGGUUUAAGCUUGUUUCUUGUACUUUGCUGCUAGCUGAAUUGAGGGAGAGUUUUUGGCAGCUAUAAAGAGGAGCUUUGCUAUACUUUAACUCAGCUAGAGCUGAGUUAGUGAUUAGAUGAGCAGAACCGCAACAAGAGAGGUGAACCUUGCGACUUGGGUUCGAUGGUUUUUGGAACAGAGUUUGGAGAUGAUUCUUCAACCCAAAGCUAACAACAAGCUGAACUGAAUUAGAGAAGCGGAUUUAGUGAUCACCUUGAGCUGAAUAUUGAGACUCUUUUGAGCUAAAUCAAGCCGAGUUGAGGUGCUUCAACCUGGAUUGAAGUAGAGGUUUAGCUUUAGACUAAACCUAGGGGACUUUGAGACUUCAUAUUUCCUGCGAUUGUGAGUUCGACAAGAGUUGUCGAUUGGAAGAGCCUUCCACAGCGGGAAAGGCUAGGGAUCCUGGCGAGGGGUCGGCGGCUAGCUAGAGCUUUUUCGACGUUAAAUAGACAAACCCUUACAAGUUUAUGCAGUUUUGAUCAGUAUUGUAUGUUGAAAUCAUGUAAAUUGUACUCUAUCCUUAUCUGUUGUAUUAGAGUUUUGGAUUGUAUAAGUUUAGACUUUUAGUCGUGCUCUGAUUACUAAGUAAGUUAAGAUCUCUUUGCUAUAUUGUUCAUUUUCUUUAUAAACGCCUGGUGUACAGUGUGGUUUUUGGGGUACACGGCGGGUCUGUGCACGUUACUGUGAGCUUCCGCUGAAGUCCAGGGCAUGACAGAAACUUGCUUUGUUGAAUUCUAGACUUCAAGAGGAAUCCGUGGAGCCCAAUUUGACAGAAUUUGAUUGAGGAAGCUGGAAUUGCUACCUGAGCCUUGUGUGCUAUCACUCUCCCCUGGAUUUGGAACCUUACUUCACCAGAUUUGAGUAUUAGAAAGUGAAGUUGACAUUGAUAUUGAGGAAAGUUAAGCUUAAGUGCUGAAUUUUUGGGUUACAAUGUGAUUUGUUGGGUUUUGAUGUUCAGAUCUUUAAGGAGGUUUACUACUGGUCCUAUGGUGAUUAUAGCAAAGAUUACCAGUGUUUUCGUGACCUUCUUGCUGCCGUGGAGUUGCGCGAGAGAAACGUCGUCUUCGGCUGCUGCUGUUGCUGAUUCUAAGCGUGGCAAGGGCGUCGCGAGUUAGAGCCUUUCAGACAAGUCGCAGAGCUAAAGGAGUACCAAUUACAGGUAGUUGUAGUUUUUGGUCCUUUACAUACAGAUGUUGUAGCUCGCCUGAGCGAGUAUUUUUGUACCCUGAUGCUAUGUAUGUAUUGAACCACUG